Long non-coding RNA from Cyanistes caeruleus (blue tit), 1901 nucleotides. Lineage: Eukaryota; Metazoa; Chordata; Aves; Passeriformes; Paridae. The record is from Ensembl.
CCAGUUCCAUCCCGUCCCAAUCCCAUUUCCAUCCCAUCCUAUCCCAAUCCCAUGGAUUCUAUCCUAACCCCACGAAUCCCAUGGAUCCCAUGGAUCCCAUCCCAAUCCCAUCCCAACCCCAUGGAUCCCAUCCAAUCCCAGUCCCGUGGAUUCCAUCCCAAUCUAAUCCCAUCCCAACCCCAUUUCCAUCCCAUCCCAUCCUAUCCCAAUCCCAUGGAUUCCAUCCCAAUUCCAUCCCAACCCCAUGGAUCCCACGGAUCCCAUCCCAAUCCCGUGGAUCCAAUCCCAACCCCACAGAUCUCAUCCCAAUCCCACGGAUCCCACGGAUCCCAUCCCAACCCUAUGGAUCCCAUGGAUCCCAUCCCAAUCCAACGGAUCCUAUCCCAAUCCCACUGAUCCAAUCCCAACCCCACGGAUCUCAUGGAUCCAAUCCCAUGGAUCCAAUCCCACAGAUCCCACGGAUCCCAUCCCAACCCCAUGGAUCCCAUCCCAACCCCAUGGAUCCCACGGAUCCCACAGAUCCCAUCCCAAUCCCACGGAUCCCAUCCCAACCCUAUGGAUCCCAUGGAUCCCAUCCCAACCCUAUGGAUCCCAUGGAUCCAAUCCCAACCCUAUGGAUCCCAUGGAUCCAAUCCCAACCCCACGGAUCCCAUCCCAACCCCACGGAUCCCAUCCCAAUCCCACGGAUCCCAUGGAUCCCAUCCCAACCCCAUGGAUCCCACGGAUCCCACGGAUCCCAUCCCCGUUCCCGCAGGGAAGAAGAACCUGGAGGAGGUCCAGCAGAUGCUGCAGGUGGUGGAGCAGCUCAUGGCCACCCUCAAGAGCCCCAGCGGAUAACAUCCAGGAAAACCCCCGGGAAAAGCAGGAGCCGCCCAGGAAGUGCCUCCCGCAGCACGGAUGGCAGAGCCCGCCCAGGGCCACCCUCCCGCUGUCCCCGUGUCCCCAAAGCCACCCCGCCUGUCCCCUCGGGUGUACCCCCGCCUCCCGGCUGGAGCGGGACAACAGCCGGCCCCGAAUUCCGGGACAACUCGCCAGAAUGUGUGCGUGGAAAUCCAUGGGAAAAGCGGGAUGGGGAGCGGGAAUUCCAUCCCGAGGGGCUGGAAACGCCCGAGGAGGAGGAGGAGGAGGAGGGACAGGGAUGUCCUUGUCCCCAGAGGAAGAGGGACCGCGCUGUCCUUGUCCCCCCCCGCCCCGAAUUUCGGGACAACCCGCCGCUCGUGUGGACGGAAAUCCAUGGAAAAAUCGGGAUGGGGAGCGGGAAUUCCAUCCCGAGGGGUUGGAAUCCAUCACAGCCUCACACAGAGGGGCUGGAAACACCCGAGGAGGAGGGACAGGGAUGUCCUUGUCCCCAGAGGAAGAGAGACCGCGAUGUCCUUGUCCCCCCGGCCCCCCCGGAGCGGGGCAGGGGUUUAUUCCCAGGAUUUAUUCCCGGGAUUUAUUCCCGGGAUUUAUUCACGAGAUUUAUUCCCGAGAUUUAUUACCGGGAUUUAUUCCCAGGAUUUAUUCCCGGGAUUUAUUCCCAGGAUUUAUUCCCGAGGUUUAUUCCCAGGAUUCAUUCCCAGGAUUUAUUCCCGAGGUUUAUUCCCAGGAUUCAUUCCCGGGAUUUAUUCCCAGGAUUCAUUCCCAGGAUUUAUUUCUGGGAUUUAUUCCCAGGAUUUAUUCCCAGGAUUUAUUCCCAGGAUUUAUUCCCAGGAUUUAUUCCCAGGAUUCAUUCCCAGGAUUUAUUUCUGGGAUUUAUUCCCGGGAUUUAUUCCCAGGAUUUAUUCCCGAGGUUUAUUCCCAGGAUUCAUUCCCAGGAUUCAUUCCCAGGAUUUAUUCCCAGGAUUCAUUCCCGGGAUUUCCAGGCCGCGUUUCCUGUGGAAAAUCCUUUUCCUGCCCGGCCGGUGCCAGGCGCCACCGAG